This 824-nucleotide ribosomal RNA is filed under the name uncultured bacterium. Its description in RNAcentral is "bacterial SSU rRNA". It matches the Rfam family "Bacterial small subunit ribosomal RNA", at positions 551 to 1381 of the family's 1533-position model. The record is from RNAcentral.
UUAUUGGGUUUAAGGGUCCGCAGGCGGACUAGUAAGUCAGGGGUGAAAUCCGGCAGCUUAACUGUCGAACUGCCUUUGAUACUGCAAGUCUUGAGUGGGAAUGAAGCAGCUGGAAUGUGUGGUGUAGCGGUGAAAUGCAUAGAUAUCACACAGAACACCGAUAGCGAAGGCAGGUUGCUAAUUCUCAACUGACGCUGAGGGACGAAAGCGUGGGGAGCGAACUGGAUUAGAUACCCUGGUAGUCCACGCCGUAAACGAUGGAUACUGUCUGUUGGGUAGUAAUAUUCAGUGGAUAAGCGAAAGUGAUAAGUAUCCCACCUGGGGAGUACGUUCGCAAGAAUGAAACUCAAAGGAAUUGACGGGGGCCCGCACAAGCGGUGGAGCAUGUGGUUUAAUUCGAUGAUACGCGAGGAACCUUACCAAGGCUUAAAUGUAUAAUGACGGGGGUGGAAACACCUUUUUCUUCGGACAGUAUGCAAGGUGCUGCAUGGCUGUCGUCAGCUCGUGCCGUGAGGUGUCAGGUUAAGUCCUAUAACGAGCGCAACCCUUAUCGCUAGUUGCCAGCGUUUCAAGACGGGGACUCUAGCGAGACUGCCAACGCAAGUUGCGAGGAAGGUGGGGACGACGUCAAGUCAUCACGGCCCUUACGUCUUGGGCGACACACGUGCUACAAUGGCCGGUACAGAGGGCAGCUACCACGCGAGUGGAUGCGAAUCUCGAAAGCCGGUCUCAGUUCGGAUUGGAGUCUGCAACUCGACUCUAUGAAGCUGGAAUCGCUAGUAAUCGGAUAUCAGCCAUGAUCCGGUGAAUACGUUCCCGGGGCC